RNAcentral lists this ribosomal RNA (464 nucleotides) under Vreelandella stevensii. RNAcentral describes it as "partial 16S ribosomal RNA". It matches the Rfam family "Bacterial small subunit ribosomal RNA", at positions 338 to 795 of the family's 1533-position model. Lineage: Bacteria; Pseudomonadati; Pseudomonadota; Gammaproteobacteria; Oceanospirillales; Halomonadaceae. The record is from RNAcentral.
CCUACGGGCGGCUGCAGUGGGGAAUAUUGGACAAUGGGCGAAAGCCUGAUCCAGCCAUGCCGCGUGUGUGAAGAAGGCCUUCGGGUUGUAAAGCACUUUCAGUGGGGAAGAAAGCCUUGGGGCUAAUACCCUCGAGGAAGGACAUCACCCACAGAAGAAGCACCGGCUAACUCCGUGCCAGCAGCCGCGGUAAUACGGAGGGUGCGAGCGUUAAUCGGAAUUACUGGGCGUAAAGCGCGCGUAGGCGGUCUGAUAAGCCGGUUGUGAAAGCCCCGGGCUCAACCUGGGAACGGCAUCGAAACUGUCAGGCUAGAGUGCGGGAGAGGAAGGUAGAAUUCCCGGUGUAGCGGUGAAAUGCGUAGAGAUCGGGAGGAAUACCAGUGGCGAAGGCGGCCUUCUGGACUGACACUGACGCUGAGGUGCGAAAGCGUGGGUAGCAAACAGGAUUAGAUACCCUAGUAGUC